UACGUAGGGGGCAAGCGUUGUCCGGAAUCACUGGGCGUAAAGGGCGCGUAGGCGGUUUGUUAAGUCAGGUGUGAAAGUUUUCAGCUUAACUGGAAAAGUGCACUUGAAACUAACUUACUUGAGUACUGGAGAGGUAAGCGGAAUUCCUAGUGUAGCGGUGAAAUGCGUAGAUAUUAGGAAGAACACCGGUGGCGAAGGCGGCUUACUGGACAGAGACUGACGCUGAGGCGCGAAAGCGUGGGGAGCGAAC
RNAcentral lists this ribosomal RNA (250 nucleotides) under uncultured bacterium. RNAcentral describes it as "partial 16S ribosomal RNA". It matches the Rfam family "Bacterial small subunit ribosomal RNA", at positions 524 to 773 of the family's 1533-position model. The record is from RNAcentral.